GACGAAGGUGGCUAGCGUUGUUCGGAAUCACUGGGCUUAAAGAGCACGUAGGCGGCCUGUUAAGCAUCUUGUGAAAUCCCUCGGCUCAACCGAGGAAUUGCUGGGUGUACUGUCAGGCUUGAGGCAAGUAGGGGCGCAUGGAACUCUUGGUGGAGCGGUGAAAUGCGUAGAUAUCAAGAGGAACGCCGGUGGCGAAAGCGAUGCGCUGGGCUUGUCCUGACGCUGAGGUGCGAAAGCCAGGGGAGCAAACGGG
This 253-nucleotide ribosomal RNA is filed under the name uncultured bacterium. RNAcentral's name for it is "partial 16S ribosomal RNA". It matches the Rfam family "Bacterial small subunit ribosomal RNA", at positions 524 to 776 of the family's 1533-position model. The record is from RNAcentral.